This 202-nucleotide unclassified non-coding RNA is filed under the name soil metagenome. RNAcentral describes it as "partial contains 5.8S ribosomal RNA, internal transcribed spacer 2, and large subunit ribosomal RNA". The record is from RNAcentral.
AACCUUAUGGACCUGCGGGCGUAUACCUGCGGAGGGAUCAUUAUCAAAACAGCGGCCUUCGGGCCUCGCUGCACCCUUGUCUUUUGCGCACCGUAUUGUUUCCUCGGCGGGCUUGCCUGCCGGUUGGACAUCAUAAAACCUUUUUGUAGUUGCAAUCAGCGUCAGAAAAACAAUAAUUAUUACAACUUUUAACAAUGGAUCU